RNAcentral lists this long non-coding RNA (204 nucleotides) under Cicer arietinum (chickpea). RNAcentral describes it as "long non-coding RNA (CARI_LNC000185)". The record is from RNAcentral. Lineage: Eukaryota; Viridiplantae; Streptophyta; Magnoliopsida; Fabales; Fabaceae.
CAAUUUUAACUUUUCAGAAGCAUGUUGACUUUAUUUUGAUUGUUCAUACUCUCUCUUAUUAUCCUAGCUGUGAGCUUUUGAGCCUAAACACUUAAAUUCUUUGUUGUGUGAUUAUCCAGACAUGUGUUAUCCCUCUAGAACUUGCACUAAUUCUGACUUGCAUCACAUGUAAUUUAUGCAUACAUUGAGGCAAUUUUAUUGGUC